GACGAACGCUGGCGGCGUGCUUAACACAUGCAAGUCGAACGGAAAGGCCCUGCUUUUGUGGGGUGCUCGAGUGGCGAACGGGUGAGUAACACGUGAGUAACCUGCCCUUGACUUUGGGAUAACUUCAGGAAACUGGGGCUAAUACCGGAUAGGAGCUCCUGCUGCAUGGUGGGGGUUGGAAAGUUUCGGCGGUUGGGGAUGGACUCGCGGCUUAUCAGCUUGUUGGUGGGGUAGUGGCUUACCAAGGCUUUGACGGGUAGCCGGCCUGAGAGGGUGACCGGCCACAUUGGGACUGAGAUACGGCCCAGACUGCUACGGGAGGCAGCAGGGGGGAAUAUUGCACAAUGGGCGGAAGCCUGUUGCAGCAACGCCGCGUGCGGGAUGACGGCCUUCGGGUUGUAAACCGCUUUCGCCUGUGACGAAGCGUGAGUGACGGUAAUGGGUAAAGAAGCACCGGCUAACUACGUG
Molecule: ribosomal RNA, 468 nt
Filed under: uncultured bacterium
Lineage: Bacteria
Description: partial 16S ribosomal RNA
Rfam family: Bacterial small subunit ribosomal RNA
Source: RNAcentral